Unclassified non-coding RNA from Pongo abelii (Sumatran orangutan), 148 nucleotides. It matches the Rfam family "Metazoan signal recognition particle RNA". From Rfam's summary of the family: The signal recognition particle (SRP) is a universally conserved ribonucleoprotein. It is involved in the co-translational targeting of proteins to membranes. NCBI's taxonomy places the organism in Eukaryota, Metazoa, Chordata, Mammalia, Primates, Hominidae. The record is from Ensembl.
GCUGGGUGUGGUGGCACGCACCUGUAAUCCCAGCUACUCGGGAGGCUGAGGCAGGAGAAUUGCUUGAACCCAGGAGGUGGAGGUUGCAGUGAGCUAAGAUCAUGCCACUGCAGUCCAUCCUGGACAACAAAGCGAGACUCUGUCUCAA